This 450-nucleotide ribosomal RNA is filed under the name uncultured bacterium. RNAcentral describes it as "partial 16S ribosomal RNA". It matches the Rfam family "Bacterial small subunit ribosomal RNA", at positions 354 to 796 of the family's 1533-position model. The record is from RNAcentral.
GUGGGGAAUUUUGGACAAUGGGCGCAAGCCUGAUCCAGCAAUGCCGCGUGCAGGAAGAAGGCCUUCGGGUUGUAAACUGCUUUUGUACGGAACGAAACGGUCCUGGCUAAUAUCCGGGGCUAAUGACGGUACCGUAAGAAUAAGCACCGGCUAACUACGUGCCAGCAGCCGCGGUAAUACGUAGGGUGCGAGCGUUAAUCGGAAUUACUGGGCGUAAAGCGUGCGCAGGCGGUGCUGUAAGACAGGCGUGAAAUCCCCGGGCUCAACCUGGGAAUUGCGCUUGUGACUGCAGUGCUGGAGUGCGGCAGAGGGGGAUGGAAUUCCGCGUGUAGCAGUGAAAUGCGUAGAUAUGCGGAGGAACACCGAUGGCGAAGGUAAUCCCCUGGGCCUGCACUGACGCUCAUGCACGAAAGCGUGGGGAGCAAACAGGAUUAGAUACCCUGGUAGUCC